Lolium perenne is the source of this 429-nucleotide long non-coding RNA. RefSeq lists it as uncharacterized. Lineage: Eukaryota; Viridiplantae; Streptophyta; Magnoliopsida; Poales; Poaceae. The record is from RefSeq and is a predicted model, not a curated record.
UACACGAAUAACCUCUGAAUAGGAGAUCUGCUUGUUCGUUGAAGGAUACGAUGCAGGGGAACAACAAGGCGGUCGUGCUCCUGGUUGUUAUCCUCGCAUGUACCACAAUGCUUGCACAAUCUCGAACAAUCGACCACAUGGAUAGCAGGAAGCUCGAAUUGUGUUCAUGCUAUAAACGAGUUGAUGCUGAGCCCUGCAUACACUACAAUAAGUGUUUCUGCUGUGACAUAUAUCCAGAUAGCUGCGCUGCGACUAAAGCAGAGUGCAUAAGAUUUUGUGAUGAUGAUAGAAUAUGCCGGCCAUGAGACACCUUCAAAUGGCCACGAGCGUGUACUUCAUACUGUACGUGAUAAGAAAUAAGAAUAAUGUCAUGACUACUUUUUUGGACUGAUGAGAUACAAUGUCAUGACGGCAUCUGCAUAUGAUUCA